Molecule: long non-coding RNA, 1645 nt
Organism: Betta splendens (Siamese fighting fish)
Lineage: Eukaryota; Metazoa; Chordata; Actinopteri; Anabantiformes; Osphronemidae
Exons: 4
Source: RefSeq, a predicted model, not a curated record
UGUCUCUUUCAGCUAUGAAGUGUGUGAAUAAUAGUUCCACUCAGAAAGAAAGAAGAAAUCUCACUGGACUGAUAUCUACUGAAUCUUGUUAGGCUUUUGAACUUUUCUGAAGACCCAUUAUGAGAUUACUUCCUGCUGAAAAACUAGUGCUUGCACUACAUUUAACCAUAGGCCUGCUGAUCCUGCCACUACUUACAGAAUGUGAUCAAAUCAGGCUGGUUGGGCCGUCGCGUUGCUCUGGCAGAGUGGAGGUCAGCCACAAUGACAGCUGGGGCACUGUGUGCGAUGACCACUGGAGCCUUAACAAUGCUGCCGUGGUGUGCAGAGAGGUAAACUGUGGCUCGGUGCUUGAGGCCAAAAAGUAUGCCUUUUUUGGGGAGGGGAAGGAAAGGAUUUGGCUGGACAAUGUGCAGUGCAUGGGUAACGAGUCCUCCAUCCUUAAGUGUAAGCACAAGCCAUUUGGGAUCAGUAACUGUGGCCAUGAUGAAGACGCUGGAGAGUCGUCUGUUCAGGUAAGACUGAGUUCACUCACUUAUCUGUGCCAUAUUUGCUUGGCUCAACAUACUAUUAAGAUACUUUUAUUUAUUGAAAAAAAAAUGUUGAUUGAGUUUGAGUCGGGAAAUUGUCCUGGGAAUACAAAGAUACAUCCACGCGGUCAGCGCAAAGCACGAGAAGAAAAAGUUGAUUUUGUGUCCAGUUUUCUUCCGAUUCAUUCUGUGUUGGCUUAACUAACCUGAGCUGCUAAAGUGGACGGAAGUGUUUGGGUAAAAGGGUAAAGCUGUGCAUAAACAAACUUAAACCUUAAAAUGUGGAACUGCCCCAGUUUACCAGUUCACAGAAAUUGGGAAAUGCAGCGGGGUUGAGAAAACACAAGAUUUGUCUUACAUCUAGAAACUGUAAGUGUUGGGUCUGAAAAUACCACAACAGCACUGAUACACACAGAGACGAGAACAAUAUAGCACACUGAGAGCCAACCAGAGAUUUUACUUGGCCAAGGGGAGUUCGCCUGAGAUCUUAGCGUUGUAAGCUCUUCACUCAGAGACCAACCAACUCCAACGAACUUCCCCAAAGCACAACAUUUUAUUGAAGCUUGUACACGCCUCCAUCAUCACAUCAUCACAUCAUUGCUGAACAUGCAGAAACACACACAUUAGGCAUAGCAGUACUCCUCCAACCCCUCGUAGGAGCACAGAGCAAAUGGCAAAUGUGACAAAAUUGUUCUUCGUAUAUGACAAUACUUGAAAACUUGUGGUUAGAAGUCUGUGCACCUGUCAAUGGGGUUAUAAGGCACAGCAAAUGCAAACCAUAAAUGGAAAAUGUAAAAAAGGUAAAUGAUACAUAAAUGAAAUGAAUAUAAAUGAAAUGGAUAAAUGAUUAUAUGGGUUAAAUGAUAUAGAAUAAACACCAAAGAUAAAUGAGAUUAAUUAUAUAUGAAAAUAUAUUUUCUCCAACAGUAAGUGUCAGCGGAAUACUGUAACAAACUUUAGUGGGGAACGUAAAUAUUAAUGAUUGCCUGGCGUAUAAUGGAUAGAUGAAGUUCUAACCUCUCGUUGCAAACUACUGUACGUGUGUUUGCAGAAACCUUAAGGGUUGUCAACGGAAGCAAUCGGUGUAAUGGCAGGAUAGAAGUCUUCCAGAAUGAGCG